AAACAAGCACACCCCAAGGCCAGCACUAGUUAUUAACAUCCUGCCUCCAUUUUCUGCCAGCCACUCCUUUGCAACCAUUCCUGGUGUUUUCUAUCAAGUGGCCAUCACAUUGCCCCAGAAGAAUGGGAGUCUGUACAGUAAGCUGCAUCAAAUAAAACGGAAGGCUUUUAACAACUUCUCUUACCCUGCUCUGUGAUUAUUUAACACUGUUCUUAGCAGCUUCACAAUACAUCAAGAAGAAAAUAGUCAGACUUGGUUUUGCUCCUCCGUGAUUAAAAACCUCCCGAUACUUGACAGAUUUUCCAUAUGCAGUAAUUUAGGUGAGUCCAUAUUAAGUUUGCUGUCCUCUUCCCAAUUCUCCCUUCAGAUGCCUGGAUCUUUCCAUUUUGGACAAUCUCCUAAGCUGAUCAUUUGUGUUCUCUUUACCUGCGUGCAGUAGGACACAGUGCUGCAUCUCAGUCUCUGAAGGAUAGUCUGGUUUUCAACACUGCAGCAAUUGACAGUUAUUUUGCAGCAAGAUACUGUUGACUUGUACUGAUUUCUGAUGGUAUGCUCACUGCCGCUUGAAGUAAAAAAGUAAUGAGCAAAGGCAGUUUUCCAUCUCUUCAGAAAUUUCAAACAUAGUUUUCUUAAGGUUACUCCAUUUUAUACUAAACCUAAUCUGCUUCACAUAUUUAUCUCCCUUAUCCUUUGUGAUAGAAAGUAAGAUCAAAAAGAGUUUUUAACCCUAGUUGUUAAGAGUAAGU
RNAcentral lists this long non-coding RNA (746 nucleotides) under Phasianus colchicus (ring-necked pheasant). RNAcentral's name for it is "lncRNA (ENSPCLG00000002309.1)". Lineage: Eukaryota; Metazoa; Chordata; Aves; Galliformes; Phasianidae. The record is from RNAcentral.